CGAACGGGUGAGUAACGCGUGAGGAACCUGCCUCAAAGAGGGGGACAACAGUUGGAAACGACUGCUAAUACCGCAUAAGCCCACGGCUCGGCAUCGAGCAGAGGGAAAAGGAGCAAUCCGCUUUGAGAUGGCCUCGCGUCCGAUUAGCUAGUUGGUGAGGUAACGGCCCACCAAGGCGACGAUCGGUAGCCGGACUGAGAGGUUGAACGGCCACAUUGGGACUGGGACACGGCCCAG
This 237-nucleotide ribosomal RNA is filed under the name uncultured bacterium. Its description in RNAcentral is "partial 16S ribosomal RNA". It matches the Rfam family "Bacterial small subunit ribosomal RNA", at positions 99 to 334 of the family's 1533-position model. The record is from RNAcentral.